RNAcentral lists this ribosomal RNA (502 nucleotides) under uncultured bacterium. Its description in RNAcentral is "bacterial SSU rRNA". It matches the Rfam family "Bacterial small subunit ribosomal RNA", at positions 28 to 524 of the family's 1533-position model. The record is from RNAcentral.
GACGAACGCUGGCGGCGUGCUUAACACAUGCAAGUCGAGCGGUAAGGCCCUUUCGGGGGUACACGAGCGGCGAACGGGUGAGUAACACGUGGGUGACCUGCCCUCAGCUCUGGGAUAAGCCUGGGAAACUGGGUCUAAUACUGGAUAUGACUCCACGGUGCAUGUCGUGGGGUGGAAAGCCUUGUGCGGCUGAGGAUGGGCCCGCGGCCUAUCAGCUUGUUGGUGGGGUGAGGCCUACCAAGGCGACGACGGGUAGCCGGCCUGAGAGGGCGACCGGCCACACUGGGACUGAGACACGGCCCAGACUCCUACGGGAGGCAGCAGUGGGGAAUAUUGGACAAUGGGCGAAAGCCUGAUCCAGCGACGCCGCGUGGGUGAAGAAGGCCUGCGGGUUGUAAAGCCCUUUCGGUGGGGAAAGAAAAGCCUCGAGUUAAUACCUCGGGGUCUUGACGUAACCCAUAGAAGAAGCACCGGCUAACUCUGUGCCAGCCGCCGCGGUAAC